RNAcentral lists this ribosomal RNA (217 nucleotides) under uncultured bacterium. Its description in RNAcentral is "partial 16S ribosomal RNA". It matches the Rfam family "Bacterial small subunit ribosomal RNA", at positions 118 to 334 of the family's 1533-position model. The record is from RNAcentral.
UACGCAACAUACCCGCUACUGGGGCAUAGCCUUCUGAAAAGGAGAUUAACACCCCAUAAUAUCAGGCAGUGGCAUCACUAUUUGAUUAAAAAUUUAUUGGUAGCGGAUUGGCGUGCGUCCUAUUAGCUAGUUGGUAUGGGUAAUGGCCUACCAAGGCGACGAUAGGUAGCUGGUGUGAGAGCACGACCAGCCACACGGGCACUGAGACACGGGCCCG